UCACAAAGCCUAUAACCGGUACGGGCCGUGAAAGCGGAAGCCCGGAGAUGGGCACUGAGACAAGGGCCCAGGCCCUACGGGGCGCAGCAGUCGCGAAAACUCCGCAAUACGCGAAAGCGUGACGGGGCUAUCCCGAGUGCUAUUCGUUGAGAGUAGCUUUUCCUCAGUGUACAGAGCUGUGGGAAUAAGGAGGGGGCAAGACUGGUGUCAGCCGCCGCGGUAAUACCAGCUCUCCGAGUGGUAGGGACGCUUAUUGGGCCUAAAGCAUCCGUAGCUUGCUGAGUAUGUCCUCCGUUAAAUUCACCGAUUUAAUCGAUGGGCUGCGGGGGAAACUGCUUAGCUAGGAGGCGGGAGAGGCCGACGGUAUUUCCGGGGUAGGGGUGAAAUCCUAUAAUCCCGGGACGACCACCAGUGGCGAAGGCUGUCGGCUAGAACGCGCUCGACGGUGAGGGAUGAAAGCUGGGGGAGCGAACCGGAUUAGAUACCCGGGUAGUCCCAGCUGUAAACGAUGCAGGCUAGGUGUUGGUGUGGCUACGAGCCGCUCCAGUGCCGCAGGGAAGCCGUUAAGCCUGCCGCCUGGGAAGUACGGCCGCAAGGCUGAAACUUAAAGGAAUUGGCGGGGGAGCACAAGGGCGAAUCGCGCCGCUAUG
RNAcentral lists this ribosomal RNA (650 nucleotides) under uncultured archaeon. Its description in RNAcentral is "bacterial SSU rRNA". It matches the Rfam family "Archaeal small subunit ribosomal RNA", at positions 249 to 905 of the family's 1478-position model. The record is from RNAcentral.